GGGAUAUAGCUCAGUUGGAUAGAGCACGGCCCUUCUAAGGCUGUGGUCGAGGGUUCGAAUCCUUCUAUCCCC
This 72-nucleotide transfer RNA is filed under the name marine eukaryotic metagenome. It matches the Rfam family "tRNA". Rfam says of the family: Transfer RNA (tRNA) molecules are approximately 80 nucleotides in length. Their secondary structure includes four short double-helical elements and three loops (D, anti-codon, and T loops). Further hydrogen bonds mediate the characteristic L-shaped molecular structure. tRNAs have two regions of fundamental functional importance: the anti-codon, which is responsible for specific mRNA codon recognition, and the 3' end, to which the tRNAs corresponding amino acid is attached (by aminoacyl-tRNA synthetases). tRNAs cope with the degeneracy of the genetic code in two manners: having more than one tRNA (with a specific anti-codon) for a particular amino acid; and 'wobble' base-pairing, i.e. permitting non-standard base-pairing at the 3rd anti-codon position. The record is from RNAcentral.